Stegostoma tigrinum is the source of this 1029-nucleotide long non-coding RNA. RefSeq lists it as uncharacterized. Lineage: Eukaryota; Metazoa; Chordata; Chondrichthyes; Orectolobiformes; Stegostomatidae. The transcript is spliced from 3 exons. The record is from RefSeq and is a predicted model, not a curated record.
UCUAAAGACAACUCCUCUAAAUUUGUCAACCGGCCACUGAAGAACAUUCAGAAUCCUCAGCAAGUAUUAUGAAUUCACCUCGCUACCUGCUUUUGCAAGAGUAUUCUUGAAAAAUGUGUGUGUGAAGCUGCUUCAUUCCGUUAUCUUGGAAUUUUGUGCAACAUGACCUCUUUUGCUUUGUGGAGCAUGGUAAAAUAUUAGAAUGAAGAAGAAGGGAAUGGCGGAAAAUCUGACAGAUGAUAGAUUCCCUCUGACACCAAUGUGAUUUCCUGUCCACAAGUACCCAGAUGCCCAGAACAGAGAGGCUGCAAAAGAACUAUUUGAAGAAGGAUUCAGAGGAGGUUGAAAGGUACCGACCCAGAUGGUAACCAGCAAAAUAGCAGAAUGGCUGUCACGGAGGAUUUUUGAACCACAAGCAAAAAACUCAGAAAGGCACGAUAUGCCAUAUGGAACUGAUUUGUGAAAGAGACACAAAUCUCCCACAUUGCAGGACAUGAUUUGAGAAGCAGUAAUGCAAUGUAUCAAGCUAACUUUACGUUGACUACAUUGACUUUGAAGUGGGAAACCAUAGUUAUAACAGUAAUUCUGUGCUGAAUUUGAGUCUCUCUUGCAGAAUUUAUGUUGGUAUUCUUUGUUGAAUUUGCUUGCUUGGAAGUACUGUAAAAGCUUUUUCCAACAUCCUCCAAAGGCUUGCCGGGAGACUAACUCUGCUGCUCAUUUUAUCAAGCGUUUUCCCUGUUGUGUUGAUGUCAGGCUAUUGCAGUUUAAAUUCAUUAGGCGAGACGAGUCGGCUAUCAAAGAACUGCUUUCUUUACAAAAAAUACUUAUAACUCUUUUGAUCUAAGUCUGCAAAAGUUCUGAUUAAAAUUAAGUUUUCCACCAAAAAACCUACAGGGAAAAUGCAGACUGUGCACCCAUAUGUUUGCAAUCUUGUAACAAUGCACAAUAAAAUGUAAUGACGUCUGCUGAGAUUUUUGCUGCUGAGAAGUAUUCACUCCAUCCAGUGCUGGUUGAGGUAGCCAAAAUGUG